This 1534-nucleotide long non-coding RNA is filed under the name Triticum aestivum (bread wheat). RNAcentral describes it as "long non-coding RNA (TAES_LNC010248)". Lineage: Eukaryota; Viridiplantae; Streptophyta; Magnoliopsida; Poales; Poaceae. The record is from RNAcentral.
UGUAAACUUCUUAAGUAUCUAUCUUUUGUUAUCUAUUGAUUAUUGCACAAUUGAAUAAUAUAAAUACAAGACCCAUUCUUCCUGAAGAAUCUGAACUACCAAUGACAAUGGAGAGUGUUUACCGCAAAAAAAAGACAAUGGAGAGUGUUACAAAACUACAGAUAACUAAUAAACAGUCUGGUAACGUAAAAACUGCCAGUAUCUUGUCUCCAAAUACCAAUAAAGGAGCAUAGUUCAACUUAAUACGACCACAGAUUAUACAAUUGACCAAUGAAACAAAUAGUGAACUUGUUAUAUGUGAACAACUCCAGCAUAGACCAUGCGACGCCCCAAUCCCCACCCACGACGGCCAGCCAAUCGCCUUGCGCGUAAGGAACCAGCCAACCAGCAACUGGCGCAGUUCGCCCCACUUGGUGACGCGGACGCGAGCGCACGACGCGCACUGAACGGCAGCUCUACAAACGAGUGGUCCCAUCGGUCAUGCACUGCAACAACCAGCAUGCGUGUGAAAAAAAAACGAAUGGCUGUACAGCCAACAAACAAUUAAACCUAUGAGCAGUAACUCAAUCAAACGGCCCUAGAUCAAAACGCGAGCAGGAGACCUUCUAUAGCCGGUUUGCCCUCUGCACUAUUCAUAGCGACGUGGAGCCAUCGGUUGUGCGUAGCAACCCCUUCAUCCUAUAUUUUUGUUAUUGUUGUAUGAUAGCUCUGCCUGACUGAACCUAUAUUCACGUUUUUAAAGAUUAUUAUUCAUGUAUGAUAGCUCUGCCUGACUGGUUUGUCCUCUCCUACUCUACAAGGGGCAUGAACAAUCUAAAAGAAAACAUAAGCUUAUAGCGAGGGAACUAUUUCAGAUCAUACAAACAACAUGAAAUUUUACCAAAUUACUCACCAGCGAGAAGGUCGCCACUUCAUGUUGUUUAACAGCGCCUGUAAGUCACGAAGUUAACCUGCAAAACAGACAAUACCAAUGGCAACAUCACUUCCCAAACCAAAUGACAGAGCAAGUGGUGCGGGUGGUAAUCUACAGGAAGUUGCGCGCAAAAAAGAAAUUGCGAACAAAGAAAAUAAGAAGAGACACUGCUGAGUCUGAGCAGGUGGUGAACACUGAUGCGGCAGCUCUGAAGACCGUUGUCCGUGAGCACUAUACCUCUGUCGAAGUUCUUGCAGUGUAACUGAAUAUUGCAAGCCCAGCCACACACAUAAAAUAAAACUAUAUUGGCACUGACGAUGAAGGCUCACACCAGGGUAAUAAGAUGUUGUUGGCAAUUUGGCAUACAAUCUGAGAACGGACACAUAACAAUCUUUUUUACCAGAGUGGUUUCGACAGUAACUAUAUUUAUCUCAAGGUCCCAGCUCGCUCGUAUAGGACGAGGACGACACAGACAAUGGAGAUCGAAGCAAUGCAAUCGCAUGGAUUAUCUUCGACAAGUUCUAUGCACCAAGGUAGAAAUAUCAAUGGCAAUACCAUCAACCAAAGACAACACCAGAUACAUAACCAAUUAGUACCAACACCUAAUCUGUAGUCUGUACU